Molecule: long non-coding RNA, 672 nt
Organism: Sceloporus undulatus (fence lizard)
Lineage: Eukaryota; Metazoa; Chordata; Lepidosauria; Squamata; Phrynosomatidae
Exons: 3
Source: RefSeq, a predicted model, not a curated record
CAGCAUCACCAAUGCUCAUGCCUGGGAUCAGUCUUUGCUGUGUUGGCAUUUGUCCCAGGGGUGACAGAGCAAACUCUCCACAGGAAUGACUCAGCACGGAGAGAAUGAAUGCAUAGAGACAGAUUGGUAGCUCUGGGAUAGGCAGACUUUUCUAUGGAGAACAUAAUAAAUAGACACAGCUCUAUGAAAGCUCAUGCUACCAACUUCUCUCUUUCAGUUAUUCUUGAAGCUGCUACAAGAUCCCUUUGCAUAGACUAACACAGCUAUAUGUUUGCAUGGGGUUUUUGACAGGACCAAGGCAGGAAGAACUCUGGCGUCCCCAAGGAACGCAGCUGUCUCGGCAGAUAAUCGGUAGCGGAGACACAACCGUAUGAUCUGGCAGACCUGAAACCCUUUUGACGGCUGAGCAUCUCCUGUUCCUUAACACUCUGUCCAGGCAUGUGGCCUGUCAACCAUGAGUGGGAUAUUCAGCGAUAGUUUUGCUACAGGCUGUUGUUGUUGUUAACUGGAUUUGAGUCAACCUCGACUCAUGGGGACCCUGUGAAUGAGACAUCUCCAAGACUUCUGAUUCUCUACCAUUCUGCCCAAGUCCUGCAGAUUCAGGCCAGUGACUUCCUUGAUCAUGUCUGUCUAUAUGAUGUGUGAUCUUUCUCUCUUUCUACUCCCUUCUGC